AGUAAACACGGAGCCAAUCCACAUCUGCAUAUCUCCACCCCUCAUUUGCAUACCCACCAGGCCAUGCCUGCAACCCCCUCCCAGGAACUUGGUAGGUCUCAGAAAUCAUGGAAUCCCUGGUGCAUAUAUAACUAUGAAAAAAAAACCCUCCUAAAGUCAUCAUACUGAAGUAAAAAACAUCAGUCCUGGCCUGCUCCAUCAACUACAAAAUGAGCUACAACUGGUGCAGAUGUUACAGCAGCCAACCAACCCCUGAAAAUGACUUUCACGUUCUCUGUUCAAACUGCUUUGGCAAGGUUUUACAGAACUUCAACCUGUACUCCAUGAAAAGGCCAAAACAAACCCUCAGAAUGGUGUCCAGCGUGACUGACUAUGGGGAUUAGUUGGGCAAUGAGGCUUGACCCAGCUUUCAGAGAGUUAUUUUGUCACCUGUCUCAAUCCCUAAAG
Molecule: long non-coding RNA, 447 nt
Organism: Rhineura floridana
Lineage: Eukaryota; Metazoa; Chordata; Lepidosauria; Squamata; Rhineuridae
Exons: 3
Source: RefSeq, a predicted model, not a curated record